This 850-nucleotide ribosomal RNA is filed under the name Acinetobacter sp. LCE2. Its description in RNAcentral is "bacterial SSU rRNA". It matches the Rfam family "Bacterial small subunit ribosomal RNA", at positions 38 to 884 of the family's 1533-position model. The record is from RNAcentral. Lineage: Bacteria; Pseudomonadati; Pseudomonadota; Gammaproteobacteria; Moraxellales; Moraxellaceae.
CGUGAGGGGCGCUAACAUGCAGUCGAGCGGGGAAAGGUGCCUUGGUAACUGACCUAGCGGCGGACGGGUGAGUAAUGCUUAGGAAUCUGCCUAUUAGUGGGGGACAACAUUCCGAAAGGAAUGCUAAUACCGCAUACGCCCUACGGGGGAAAGCAGGGGAUCUUCGGACCUUGCGCUAAUAGAUGAGCCUAAGUCAGAUUAGCUAGUUGGUGGGGUAAAGGCCUACCAAGGCGACGAUCUGUAGCGGGUCUGAGAGGAUGAUCCGCCACACUGGGACUGAGACACGGCCCAGACUCCUACGGGAGGCAGCAGUGGGGAAUAUUGGACAAUGGGCGCAAGCCUGAUCCAGCCAUGCCGCGUGUGUGAAGAAGGCCUUUUGGUUGUAAAGCACUUUAAGCGAGGAGGAGGCUACUUGGAUUAAUACUCUAGGAUAGUGGACGUUACUCGCAGAAUAAGCACCGGCUAACUCUGUGCCAGCAGCCGCGGUAAUACAGAGGGUGCGAGCGUUAAUCGGAUUUACUGGGCGUAAAGCGUGCGUAGGCGGCUUCUUAAGUCGGAUGUGAAAUCCCUGAGCUUAACUUAGGAAUUGCAUUCGAUACUGGGAAGCUAGAGUAUGGGAGAGGAUGGUAGAAUUCCAGGUGUAGCGGUGAAAUGCGUAGAGAUCUGGAGGAAUACCGAUGGCGAAGGCAGCCAUCUGGCCUAAUACUGACGCUGAGGUACGAAAGCAUGGGGAGCAAACAGGAUUAGAUACCCUGGUAGUCCAUGCCGUACACGAUGUCUACUAGCCGUUGGGGCCUUUGAGGCUUUAGUGGCGCAGCUAACGCGAUAAGUAGACCGCCUGGGGAGUACG